Molecule: long non-coding RNA, 1047 nt
Organism: Drosophila montana
Lineage: Eukaryota; Metazoa; Arthropoda; Insecta; Diptera; Drosophilidae
Exons: 3
Source: RefSeq, a predicted model, not a curated record
UGGAACCUACAGUAUGUACACUCAAAAAAAAUUAUCUAAAUUUUAAAGUUCUAUUAUAUUUAAAUGGUAAAUAUUUUAAGAUAUUAAGAAAUUAAAAUCUUUUGAAUUUUUUGGAGCGAACCAGAACGACAAAAUGAUCCGAGUCAAAUAUACAAAUAGUAUGUGCCGCCGGUUGUUAACGUGUGCGCCAGGCUGUUGACCAACUGCGAGGCGCUGGCAAUUGAGGAUGUGUCCAGACAUUACAGCUCUGAAUUUCCUGAAUAUACAUAUAUUUUGACAGCGCCCAUAAAGAUAGCAUUCAAAUAUGUGAAUGUAACAAAAAUAAAAACUUUACCUCUUAAAAUGAUCUGUGCUUGAACUAAAAGAAUGUACGGGAUAACUUUCACUUUUUGAAUCAUAUAAGAUAUGCUAGAUAUACAUAUAUAUAUGUGAUAAACGGGGGUUGUUAAUCGAUUCUUAUCGAUUGUGCCAAAUGUUAACGCUUCUAUACCAAAAAGCCUCUGAGAACUGAGUCGGACAGGUUAAACACAUGGACGGCUAUCAAGAAUAUAGUUACUUUAUAAAGGGUAAAAUCUUACCAAUAUUGCUUAAGCUAUGAAUGUUAAAAAUGUUUAAAAUGGCUAAGCAACUUAAAAUUGCUCAGUUUUUGUAUGCUUUAUAGCACUUUCAUCGUAUCUACUUGGCUCGUUUAGAGAUCUUAUCGCUGCUGGCCCGCUGCCUUGACCAAACUCUGCCAUUUCCUAUCCAAUUAAGCAGACGUCGUCGACGGCCUGUCAGCGGCGUGCAAAGGUGAAAAGUUUCAGUUGAUAUCAAAUGUGCCAAACCAUGGCGAAAUCGCGUGACUGUCAACCAGUGAAAUUUUCUGGCUGUGAGCAGCGUGCAAGACUUCUGUCUAAAUACCCUUGCAGAGGAUACAUUUCAUAUGCAUAGCAGUGCAAAGCUUAUGGGAAUAUUUAUUUACCGCGGAAAUGUGGCAACUCUAUCGAUCAGUUAUCGGACUAGGAAUAUGGUCAUCAGUCAGUAUUUUGUCAGCAUAUCAAUCUGUUU